GUUGGGUUAAGUCCCGCAACGAGCGCAACCCUUGUCCUUAGUUGCCAGCACGUAAUGGUGGGAACUCUAAGGAGACUGCCGGUGACAAACCGGAGGAAGGUGGGGAUGACGUCAAGUCAUCAUGGCCCUUACGGCCAGGGCUACACACGUACUACAAUGGUCGGUACAGAGGGUUGCAAGACCGCGAGGUGGAGCCAAUCCCAGAAAGCCGAUCCCAGUCCGGAUUGGAGUCUGC
This 235-nucleotide ribosomal RNA is filed under the name Rhodanobacter sp. FW510-R12. RNAcentral describes it as "partial 16S ribosomal RNA". It matches the Rfam family "Bacterial small subunit ribosomal RNA", at positions 1074 to 1308 of the family's 1533-position model. Lineage: Bacteria; Pseudomonadati; Pseudomonadota; Gammaproteobacteria; Lysobacterales; Rhodanobacteraceae. The record is from RNAcentral.